ACAUCCAGAGAACUUAGCAGAGAUGCUUUGGUGCCUUCGGGAACUCUGAGACAGGUGCUGCAUGGCUGUCGUCAGCUCGUGUUGCGAAAUGUUGGGUUAAGUCCCGCAACGAGCGCAACCCUUUAUCCUUUGUUGCCAGCGGUUCGGCCGGGAACUCAAAGGAGACUGCCGGUGAUAAACCGGAGGAAGGUGGGGAUGACGUCAAGUCAUCAUGGCCCUUACGGCCAGGGCUACACACGUGCUACAAUGGCGCAUACAAAGAGAAGCGACCUCGCGAGAGCAAGCGGACCUCAUAAAGUGCGUCGUAGUCCGGAUUGGAGUCUGCAACUCGACUCCAUGAAGUCGGAAUCGCUAGUAAUCGUAGAUCAGAAUGCUACGGUGAAUACGUUCCCGGGCCUUGUACACACCGCCCGUCACACCAUGGGAGUGGGUUGCAAAAGAAGUAGGUAGCUUAACCUUCGGGAGGGCGCUUACCACUUUGUGAUUCAUGACUGGGGUGAAGUCGUAACAAGGUAGGCGUAGCGAG
This 526-nucleotide ribosomal RNA is filed under the name uncultured bacterium. RNAcentral's name for it is "bacterial SSU rRNA". It matches the Rfam family "Bacterial small subunit ribosomal RNA", at positions 984 to 1509 of the family's 1533-position model. The record is from RNAcentral.